CAGCAGCCGCGGUAAUACAGAGGGUGCGAGCGUUAAUCGGAUUUACUGGGCGUAAAGCGUGCGUAGGCGGCUUCUUAAGUCGGAUGUGAAAUCCCUGAGCUUAACUUAGGAAUUGCAUUCGAUACUGGGAAGCUAGAGUAUGGGAGAGGAUGGUAGAAUUCCAGGUGUAGCGGUGAAAUGCGUAGAGAUCUGGAGGAAUACCGAUGGCGAAGGCAGCCAUCUGGCCUAAUACUGACGCUGAGGUACGAAAGCGUGGGGAGCAAACAGGAUUAGAUACCCCUGUAGUCCCUGUCUCUUAUAC
Molecule: ribosomal RNA, 301 nt
Filed under: uncultured bacterium
Lineage: Bacteria
Description: partial 16S ribosomal RNA
Rfam family: Bacterial small subunit ribosomal RNA
Source: RNAcentral